Molecule: ribosomal RNA, 322 nt
Filed under: Protaspa sp.
Lineage: Eukaryota; Cercozoa; Thecofilosea; Cryomonadida; Protaspidae
Description: SSU rRNA
Rfam family: Eukaryotic small subunit ribosomal RNA (bases 103-322)
Source: RNAcentral
GAUUUCUGGCUUGACGCGCUUGGCCCGCCUCGGUUACGAGUGUGAGUGCCGAUGCGCGUCUGCCAUCCUUCCAGAAAACGGCAUCUCCCUUCACUGGGUGGGUGUCGCGAUCUGGAUCUAUUACUUUGAAAAAAUUAGAGUGUUUAAAGCAGGCGUUUGCUGUGAAUACAUUAGCAUGGAAUAAUAAUCUAGGACUUCGGUUCUAUUUUGUUGGUUUCUAUAACUGAAGUAAUGAUUGAUAGGGACAGUUGGGGGUGCUAGUAUUGGCCGGCCAGAGGUGAAAUUCUUGGAUUCGGUCAAGACUAACUUAUGCGAAAGCAUU